Molecule: long non-coding RNA, 9036 nt
Organism: Piliocolobus tephrosceles (Ugandan red Colobus)
Lineage: Eukaryota; Metazoa; Chordata; Mammalia; Primates; Cercopithecidae
Exons: 2
Source: RefSeq, a predicted model, not a curated record
CUUGAACCCAGGAGUUUCAGGCUGCUGUGAGCUAUAAAUCCCACCACUGCACUCCAGCCUGGGCAACAGAGCAAGACUCUAUCUCAAAUUAAAAAUAAAAUGCCACUGAACAAACAGGAACUAAAAGUUAUAUGGUCAACAUUUGUACUGCUCAUUGCCUAAGUCUAGGGGCAGAGGAUUGUGCCCAGGUAAUGACUAUUAGAAAAACCAGGGAACUUCCUUUAAUCAAUCCUUUAUUGAGUGGUUCCAGUUCUGGCAUUCAGAGUUGUAUAUUUGGUUUCAGUUUUUGUUCUAUUUAUGUCAAGAGAAAAAACUUCCAGCAAACCAAAUGAAAAGCAAGACACAUCAGCAUCUAAAGAAUUUCCAUAUUUAUUUUACAUAAUUUUACCAUACACAUCUCAUGCCAACACACAGGAGGCAUAUACAAACAAACGCACCAGCUUCUCUUUUCCAAAGUCACAUGGCAAUAAAUAAGGAUGGGUGGGUCCUUUUUUUUUUCCCCCUCCCAGGAAACGAGACUUAAUUUCUCUUUAACUGUACAAAAUUUACAUUGUGAAGGAUGAGGGCAGCGAUCCAGAGCUGAGGGGAUCUGGGGCUUUGAGGUCUGAUUGAUUGCAAGCUCAGAGCAACUUCUGGAAUCCCGCAGCCCUGAACCUGCUUGUUUGGCCGAACACAGUCCUCAAGUGGGAAAGUUGUUGGUGUGAUUCUUGCCUCUUGGUGGGCAACAGAUGAGAGUGGGGCUGUCCUUCCUCUGUUCACCUGUGCUCUGCCUCCCUAAGCAAAGGAUUGCUUGGUGCACCUCCCAAACCUGCAGCUGUCUCCUCACCAGAGCUAGCAGCAUGAAACUGUGCUUUUAGUGUGGUCCUACCAAGCAGAGUGUGGAUGGGAUGACUUUGCUGAGCUCUCUCUUUUUGGCUCCAGUCACUCACUGUGUUUAGAGCAGUUGGAGCAACUACUGCAAAAAGGGCCAAUUGACCAAUCCAAGAAAGAGAGAGCCAGUGAUGUGCUUUUUAUUUAGCUUUCAGCAUGCCCAGAGCCCUUCCGCAGCAGGCAAUAAAACAAAACUCAUUUCCGCUUAAUUGAAUUUUUCUUCAUCUCACAGCUUCCAAUUUUUAAAGUGCAAUGUUUAAAAAUGAGCCUCCUCAGGCCUUCCAGACCCUGCUGGCUGGGGAGGUAUGGUAAUUAUUCUCAUGGUUAUAACCAAGUUGUCAGUCGUGGCAUGUGGGAGUGGAGGUGCAGAGAGUGGACUGUCACACAACACACAGCCUUUGCUCAUCAGAAGCCUUGAGCCCCCUCCUGUAAAGAGGCAGUUGGAAAUCACCAGCUUGAGCUUCAGAGAGAGAAAUGUCUUUUGUUUUACAGAUUUCUUACACUUCCUUGCAAAGUGAGCUUAAUGAUGAAGAUCAAAUGGCCCAAUUAUCUUACUAGGUUUCAUGUUUUAUACUGGCCCCCCAGAAGUUUAAGGACACUGACAAAUGCUUUUCUUGUGUCUUAAUUUUUUCCUCUUUCCCUGAUGUUUCACAGUAUUCAUUUGCAGGAACAAUGUUAGCAAUAUGAUUGAUAGUUGAUCUUUAUUUUACAUUAUAUUCAUAACUGUCAGAUGAGACAAGAAAGAGAAAGCACAAAGACUGAAAGGAAUUUGCCUGAGGUUGCACAGCAAGUCCUUGAAGGGCCAAGAACCUGACUCCCAACACUGACCCAUCGGCCAACUUCUUAGCCUUCGGGCCAACUUCUUAGCCUUUAAAUCUGGUAUUUCCUCCAUGGUUUCAUUACGUUCCAACAAACAGAGAUUCCUCCAUAGCCCCUCAGUUUCCAUUUUGCUUAUACCAGUUACCACUGGAACUUGGGGUUUUAACUAAUUUGCUCCUGGAUUCAAGAGCUUCCUACUCUAAAGUCGGCCAGGCAGGCACUGCAGAUAACAAGAGCCUGUAGAAGGUCUCAUUUCAUUUGUAAAAUUCAUCCAUGUCAUUUUAGCAAGGGGGGAAACAGCUAUCAUGUAGCACCUUAUACCCCAUAGUAGGCUUCCAAGCAAUAGAGGAGCGCCUCUAAGAGAAGCUAAAGGUAAUGAAUGCCCAGCUCUUCUCCAUUUCCAAACCCCAGAAGAGUCUUGUCUUGCAAUGGCUCAUUAGUGGCACCAGCCCAUCCAUAAUGCUAACCCCACCUGCAGGAAGAUCCAUUUAAAAUCUUAGACCUACUGUGGCUGUGCUUCUAAACAGGCAGCAAUGUUUGCUGCUUUCUGGGGAGGUGGCUCUGGAAAACAAAGCUCUCCUGGUUUUCAGGCCAGUGCUCUCAAGGGGUUUUCCAGCUACCCAGCCAUAAUGACACCAAAGAACUAUUGACCUCGUCAACUGUUCACUGAGUUCCUCAAGAGAUUUAUUGUGUUAGUAUAAAUGAAGAAGGCCUCUACUUCCACUAUUGAACUGGGAAUUAGUAGAUUAACUUACAGAAACAAAAACUGGUCAACUUACAGUGAUCUUAAACAGUGCUACACAGAGGAGGAUGGCCCCCCCCCCCUUUAAAGAGCCUGCUCUCCCCGACACUAUACUCACCAAAAACAUCAAGGGCCUCUGAAAUCCCAUGAGUUGCUAAACCAAAUAGUCAACUUGCAACAGUGAUCUGGGUGGGCAGCUUUUCAACUGGUUCAUUGCCCUGCAGAGCCUUUUCUCCUGGGUAUUUUAAGCAGCCAUCCUCCAAAAAGACGACUGCAUAUUCCUUUUCCUCACAUGGCAUUUAUGUCUUCCUACCCACCCCAAUGUUCAUGAUUAGAGAAUUCCCAAUAGCACAGUACUGGCAAGGCUUAACACACCAUCAUCCAUAAACAUGGAACCUCAAGAGAAGUGUCUAUGUUUGCAGACUCCUCAAGCAAAAAUCAUGACCACUGCAGCACUAUCAAAAAAACAAGGGUACACCAUAAAAUUGGUCAGAGAAGAGGUGGCCCAAAGGCUGAUCCCGGAAUUUACUGUUUUAAAGAAGCUUAACUGAAAUUAGUUUAGUCCUGGAAAGGGACUUUCAAAAGAUGCAGCAGCCCAAGAGGAACUGUGUAUUCUUCCUUUAGUCUGCCUAUGACAUGCCUAAAUCUUUGCAGUCCUCAAAAGGUGACCAACCAUUCUUAGAAGGAAGGGUCCUUAGGGUCUCUGGCCCCAUCACUUCAUGUGAUAGAAAGGCAAUGCCUUCUCACCCUUUCCCACUCUGCUGAUCUCAUUUAAGAGAAGGAGCGGCCAGAAGAAGAAAACCAGAGCUUCCCAGAGGGACGGCAAUACAUUCCAGCUAGCUAAAUUCCAGUUUGCUCAUGGAGAGCUUCCUGAUGGCAGAUGGGUGCACAAGGUGGGUGGGAGCUGCAGCACCAUUCAGGACAGCAUUUUCCACAGCAGUGCAGUCUGUCACAGGAGUGGCAACUCGUAAAGCGGCGGUUGGCCUUGCCCUGGCCUCAGGCCUAGUGAUGUGCUACUGCAAACCUGCACAACAGGGAGUCCCUGCACCACCACUGGCCAGAGAGCUCUGGCUUUCUGACCAUGGGACUGCAGCCCAAGACAUGGCAGGUGUCCAGCCAGCAAUCCAGACAGAUGCAGCCCAAGAACCACCUUAGACAAUUUUAGGGCUGCUCCCUAAAUUAUUCUUCCCAAACAAGGUAGGCCAAAAAAAAAUUGCUGGUUCCUGGAAAGGACCAAAACUGUCCUCCAAUUGAGUCAGCUAGGACAGCAGAGAAAGCUUUCAUUAUUAAGGGGGCAGAGGGGUAGACUUGCAAGCUCAUCUAAACCAACUCCUUCAAAACAGACUCCAAAUAUUUCACCCUACGAGGGAUGGGGAACUCUGGAAGACUGGCAUCAGCCGAUAUGGCCGAACAGACUGCAGGUUUGGAAUCCAAAUGUGUCUAUAAAUGUUCACUGAUUGUCAUUCUGUUCUCCCCACAUUUUAGUUUUGCUCAUUUUGUGGCCCACAGCCUGUCUUGUGGAAUAAAUGAUACAAGGAAUUGAAGAAGGCACACUGCACCAAGGGGACUCAUCAGGCAGUCUGCAGCGGUGGUCCAGGGCUACUCAGCUCAGCCUCAGUCACCUGCAAUGAAAACCACCUCUUGCCAUCAGAGUCAAUGAUAUAGAUGAGAUUUAAAAACCAAAACAAAUUCAUAUUCUCUGGUUUGUAGAAAAGAAUAUCUUCAGAGCAAACAAAAAAAAAGGAGGGAGCAUAUUUUUCAUAUCAAACUGUGGCCAGCAAAGUGUUCACUAACCUUUAAUAACUGAUCUUUUCAUUUUGAAAUAUAGGGUUCAAUAUGGAUGGUCCAGAAAUCACUUUCAUUUUACUCAAGGGCUGUGAGGCCUCUACCUUAGGAAUCUCAGUUCUCAUGAGAGCAGCAUUUUGGGAGGCAUUGCGUGAGACACACUAGUUGGAGCAACGUUCCCAAAGCCCAAGGGGGCCUGUCACAGUCACCUUGUGCUACCAAAUCACUGAGCAGCCAAGCUCCUAAGCAGAACAGGAGGGGAGAGACCCAACAAGCCAGUGUCCCUAGAGCUCUAGGCCAUUACCCCCUGUGCUGUGUUCUGAGAUGAGGCUGCUCUCCCACUGCUUCCCCAGGAAAACACGCCCUGUGGUCUCACAGCCUUCUGGGAAUCAGUGGAGGACUUCCAUUGAAAAUAAUGGAAAUUCACAUUGGCGUACUUUCAGUCCUUAAAAGGAAUACAUGUGACCAAGAAAGACGCCCAAGGACGGCAGCUGCCUUGCAGCCAAGCAUGGGUCAGACACACCAGUAUGGCAGCCUGACAUCCAGAGGCCAACCCAGGCCAAGGAGAAAAACAAGAAACACCUGCAAAGCCUAAUUCCCAGGUCCCAGAAGGAUGGUUAAAUGUUUGGUGAGCUCGUUGGUCCCUUGUGGCUCGUGUACUAACACUCCGGCUACACUGAGGAGGAUGAAUGCCUAAGACUAGGUGGGUCAGAUGUCUCCACAUCACAAAUGGAAACUACAUGCUGACAAGAUUUACCCUGAAAGCUUUCAAGCUGAGAAAGGGCUUGGUUUAGUUGGUUGGGAAGCAAGCAGGCCCGUAUGGUCAGGGAAACUGAGGACCACUCUUAGACAUCUGUACAAAAUCCUCUGGUCUAUCUGGAAGAUAGGUUCAAUAUCAAAGGACUUGGUUUCUGUCUGUAUUCAAUAAACUCUUCACUGGGGACAAAGAAUUGACUUGAUUAAGGCAAAUGAACCUUCUUGUUUCUUGAAGAAUUUCAUUAAAGGGAUCUAAUGGAAUCUUUGCCACUUGAAAGAAUUCAUCUCUCCAACAGAGGUGAGCAGUUUUAGUCUUUGGGUAAUUAUUCCCAGAGAGACCAAUGAUAGGUCAGCCCAGGGACCCACCUGCAUCCAACAGAAAUGAGCUUAACAAUCCAGUAUGUUCUAGGUGUUGACUUCGACAGCCCAGAUGAGAUUAAGUGACUUUCCUAAUCCUGCCAAGAAGCCUAGAAGGUAAGCAUUAGUCCCAUGAGCGGUCCCCAAGGCCCCACAGCCCCUGUAUUCUGAGAGGAGGCUGCCCUCUAGGGCUCAGCUGACCUCUGGGCUGAACUACAGUCCCCCCAGGGCAUCGUGGUCCUGGCAGGCAACUUGUUCCAUCCUCUGUCCCACAAACUUCUUUUUCUAUUUCCUAUGCACCAAUCCCUAAAUAAGGCCUCCCCAGACUAGACUUCAACACCCCAUCCCUUCUGAGGCCUGCCCCCCACUCCCCUUAGAAAAAACAUGGUGGGGGGAGCUCAUGCUCUUCAAAGGGGACAGGAAGAUGAAGGCUCCACUCCACUGUCAAAUGGCCAUGAGUUAGCCUUUUGCCAGGGCCCUCUGCGGGAGCCGCAGGCUCCUUGUGGGAACGAUCAUGCCUUCCAGGUAUACAGAUGUGCCAGGCUUUCCCCAAGCCCGUCCAUAGUCGGUUGUGUUCAUUGAUCCCCACAACGCAGUGAGAGGGGCAAAGAUGGGGUAUUCCCCAUGGGAAUACUGGGGCUCAAGAGAAGUGAAUCGAUUUGACAGAGCCGCACUGGAAACCAGGUCUCUGAUCGCCAGUGGAGUACUCUUCCCUUCCCCCUCCGCAGAAGACUUUCCACAUUUGGGAAUUCAGUAACUGAGAACAGUUAUGAUUCUUUGCAAACAACCUGAGGAUUCACAACAUGCAGUAAUUUGCAAUUUUGCUGAUGCACGAAUUUGAAUAUAGCUCAUGCUGCAAAGCUUGUGUGCAGGGGACAGAAUGAAGUGAGUGGUGGGGGAAGGGAGUUCGGAAGUGAAGCCAGUUCCCCAUCUCACAUGCGCUCACAACACUGAUUUCCCAGGAAAAAGGGCCUGCGGAGCAUGUCCUCCCCACCACCAUGACUGGAGGAAGGGGCGGCUCUAGGGGACCAUCGGUGUAGGCCAGUGUCCCAGCAAAGGGGAGAAAGAUGGGAGAAGGGCUAGGGGCACAAGGCUGGGACCCGGUCAUCUGUUCAUAGCUAUGUGGGCUGAUGAGGGAGGCCCCAGUCAGCAGGAGGGGAGGGGAGGCCUUGGGGCCACAGGACGAGGCCUGGCCCAUCCCAGCUUCCAGACCUCAGCAAUCUUGUUUCCUACUCCUGUCCCACGGUAAAGGGCCACUACCAUUUCCCCCACCCUUCACCGCAAGUCUUAAGGAAAAGCCUGCGUUUGGGAGGCAGUUGCCAAGGCCUCAAGAAAGAUCCCUCCUGAGUGCCAGGGAUUACAGAUUCCCAGGGGACUUUCCUAAGGCCUUGGCCUGGCCCCUCCAGCCCUGCUCACCUCGGAAGCUCAGCUCACUGUCACUAACCCCACAGUCCUCUGCAGAGCUCUCCUUCUCCUGCUUGCUGCCGCCUCGGCUUCUCUUGACGCUCUUAUAGAACUGCCCCCAGCGGUGCCGCCCUGCAUCCUUCUUCAGGCGUUUCUCUUUGGCCCUUCUGUUCUGAAACCAAACCUGCCACACAAGCACAAGGGACACACUCAGGGGCGUCCAUCACGAACCCAAAGCCCCCAGGACCCCCAAGGCAGGCGGCUGGAAGCAGAUUGAAGCCUGAAUGGAGCGCAGGUCCGGGAGUGCCAUGAGCCCCGCCCCCUCUCCCCAGGUGGGCCUCAGAACUCUUCAGUUCUGGCAAAAGCCCUGGGGUCAGGCCCUGAGCCCAACCACCGGUGAACUGAUGUCACUCAGGACACCUUCCACCCCGUCCCGGGCCUGGGAUCCCCGGAGGGCACAGGAGUGCUGGCAUCUCACCUGCACGACCCUCAUGUCCAGGCCUGUCUCUGAGGACAGCUGCUCCCUCACGUGCCGGGCAGGCUUGGGGGAGUUCUUGUACGCAUUCUUUAAUGUCUCCAGCUGCUUGGCUGUGAUGGUGGUCCGGGGCCGCUUAGCUCCGGCCUCUGAGUCAUCUGCAAGGAAAAACCACUGCUUACUGGCUUCGGCCUAUCUGCAGCAGCUGCGCCUCCUCCCCCACCCUCCUUCCAUCCUUUCUGCACCUAAGCCUGCCUGCUGUAGGCAGGGCAGUGCGAGGCACAGGGGACAUCAGAGUGGAGAGGUCCCCAAUCUCAUGGCACCGGCUCCUGCACCACAGGCCUUCCCAAGCCACUGGAAAGUAAGGACCGCCGUCCUUUCUCUGCUCAGCUCCCUGCUUCUCCCCUCCCCUGCCAGCCCAGCUGCAUAGAAGUCUCAUCAGACUGAAUGAAUGUACCAGCUCCACACAUGUCCCUGUCAUGACAAACACACUGCUCGCACAUCCUCGUGAGUUCUUGCCGGAGCUGUGAAGGUGAACAGCCAGGUUGAAGUCCGUGUUCCAAGCCGCCCCGAACACCUUCCUCUCUCUCAUGGGGAGUCUCCUGUUUCCCCACAGCCAUGUCACCUUGGCCCUGGCGUUGCUGGGCUCACAGCCAGGGCUGAGCUUGCACACCCAAUAGUGUCUAAGCAGGUUUCUAAGCUAUGGGUCAGAACCCACUCGUGGGCUGUAAAGUCAACUUAGUGGACUAAAACUAAAAGAAGAAAUCAGAUGAAGAGAAUGGAAUGGCAAGAUCAUCAUUAACCUUUAGUUUUUAUCGUAUGAAUGUAUGUACUGAGAUGAAAUGUCAAAUGAGUUUUACUGUGGAUCGUAGUCAAAAUUUUUUGAAAAAACUAGUCGAAGGAAUGUUCUGGGCAACACAUUGACUGAUCAACACAAAGUCCUCUACAGAUUUUGAGUGAACAAGCUAAAGUUCCUGUUAAAGUCUGGUUUGUUCCAUUCAAAGUCAGGCAGAGAGAGAGGCACGUGGGUGUGUUCAGAAGCACAGAUGAGCAGAAAGGUUUGUUUCUUCUCCCAGCACUUAGGCUUACUGCCCUUUUCUCCACAGUGCCCCUGGAGGACACAAAGAAUAAAGUCAGCAGCUGGCCGGGGCAGCUCUGCUCCCUGUGCUUGCUCCCCUGUGUGCCCCUGAAAGUGUCUCUGUGCCAUUCCUGACUUCCUCUCUGUCUUUUCUCCUUUCUUUCAAGAAAACCCUCUCUUAGGAACAAUAAUAGCCAACAUGUGUUAGCACCUACCAUGUGCUGGUGUUGACUAAGGACUUUAUACGCAUUCGGUCCUCACAGUCUACAAGGCUCUCCCUGGAGUCAGCAGACCUGGCUUCCAUGUUCUUGUUGAGUGAGUGACUUGGACCAGUAACUCACCUCCCCUUUGGAAGCCCAGAGGGCAACACAGCCUGCCCUGGUCUUGGGAGGCACUAGAGGAAUGAAGCAGCUGUGCGGCCAGGACAUGCGUGCACACAGUGAGGGGGACGCACCCGCGCCUUCCCUUCUCCUUGGGCUGUUUUCUUCUCUCACGUGGCCACUGUCAUCCCAGAACUGCUGUGGCCCAACUCCCUCCCUGAAGCCGCUGCCGCAGAGAUGACACUACCUAGAGUCAUUCCAAAGACAAGGGGAACCUCCAAAACGCCUUCCUUUUAAUUCUGAGGAGUCAGUCCCUUCUGUGCAUUAUUUAUAGUCUACACGGGAGUGUCUGAUGCAACUUUGAAUUAUGCAAAUGGGAAAUAGCGCACUUGUAUACAGUCUUUCUAUUAAAAACUGUGAAAUAAUGCAA